AACGAACGCUGGCGGCAUGCCUAACACAUGCAAGUCGAACGAGACCUUCGGGUCUAGUGGCGCACGGGUGCGUAACGCGUGGGAACCUGCCCUUAGGUUCGGAAUAACUCCCCGAAAGGGGUGCUAAUACCGGAUAAUGUCUUCGGACCAAAGAUUUAUCGCCUUUGGAUGGGCCCGCGUUGGAUUAGCUAGUUGGUAGGGUAAAAGCCUACCAAGGCGACGAUCCAUAGCUGGUCUGAGAGGAUGAUCAGCCACACUGGGACUGAGACACGGCCCAGACUCCUACGGGAGGCAGCAGGGGGGAAUAUGGGACAAUGGGCGAAGGCCUGAUCCAGCAAGGCCGCGGGAGUGAGGAAGGCCUUAGGGUUGUAAAGCUCUUUUACCCGGGAUGAUAAGGACAGUACCGGGAGAAUAAGCUCCGGCUAACUCCGU
RNAcentral lists this ribosomal RNA (432 nucleotides) under uncultured bacterium. Its description in RNAcentral is "partial 16S ribosomal RNA". It matches the Rfam family "Bacterial small subunit ribosomal RNA", at positions 29 to 506 of the family's 1533-position model. The record is from RNAcentral.